AGAGUUUGAUCAUGGCUCAGAAUGAACGCUGGCGGCGUGCCUAACACAUGCAAGUCGAGCGAGAAAUCACACUUCGGUGUGAGAGUAGAGCGGCGCACGGGUGAGUAACGCGUGGAUAAUCUACCCGUGGAUUGGGGAUAACCCUGCGAAAGCGGGGCUAAUACCUGAUAGUCUGGUCAUUAUAUAGAUGAUCGGUAAAGGUGGCCUCUGAUACAAGCUACUGUCCGUGGAUGAGUCCGCGUCUCAUUAGCUGGUUGGUGGGGUAAUGGCCUACCAAGGCGACGAUGAGUAGCUGGUCUGAGAGGAUGAUCAGCCACACUGGGACUGGAACACGGCCCAGACUCCUACGGGAGGCAGCAGUGGGGAAUAUUGGGCAAUGGGCGCAAGCCUGACCCAGCAACGCCGUGUGAGGGAAGAAGGUUUUCGGAUCGUAAACCUCUGUCAGAAGGGAAGAAGUGGCAGAUAUUUAAUAUAUAUUUGCUUUGACGGUACCUUCAGAGGAAGCACCGGCUAACUCCGUGCCAGCAGCCGCGGUAAUACGGAGGGUGCAAGCGUUAUUCGGAAUCACUGGGCGUAAAGCGCCGCGUAGGUUGCGUGGUAACUCAGAUGUGAAAGCCCCCCGGCUCAACCGGGGGAAC
RNAcentral lists this ribosomal RNA (638 nucleotides) under uncultured bacterium. RNAcentral describes it as "bacterial SSU rRNA". It matches the Rfam family "Bacterial small subunit ribosomal RNA", at positions 8 to 622 of the family's 1533-position model. The record is from RNAcentral.